Molecule: ribosomal RNA, 250 nt
Filed under: uncultured bacterium
Lineage: Bacteria
Description: partial 16S ribosomal RNA
Rfam family: Bacterial small subunit ribosomal RNA
Source: RNAcentral
CGGGUGAGUAACACGUAGGUAACCUACCCUUUGCUGGGGAAUAACUUCGGGAAACCAAAGCUAAUUCCGCAUACGUCCUCAAGGUUGCGGCCUUGAGGAGAAAGAUGGCCUCUUCAUGAAAGCUAUCGGCAAUUGAUGGGCCUGCGUAUCAUUAGCUUGUUGGUAGGGUAACGGCCUACCAAGGCUACGAUGAUUAGCUGGUCUGAGAGGAUGAUCAGCCACACUGGAACUGAGACACGGUCCAGACUCC